Molecule: ribosomal RNA, 2815 nt
Filed under: Trueperaceae bacterium
Lineage: Bacteria; Thermotogati; Deinococcota; Deinococci; Trueperales; Trueperaceae
Description: 23S ribosomal RNA
Rfam family: Bacterial large subunit ribosomal RNA
Source: RNAcentral
GGGCGUACGGUGGAUGCCUUGGCAGUCGAACCGAUGAAGGACGUGGCUACCUGCGAUAAGCCUCGGCGAGCUGGGAAGCAAGCUUUGACCCGGGGAUGUCCGAAUGGGGAAACCCACUAGCGCGAACCGCUAGUACCCAUAGCUGAACACAUAGGCUAUGUGGAGGGAACCCAGGGAACUGAAACAUCUAAGUACCUGGAGGAAAAGAAAGAAACCUCGAUUCCCUUAGUAGUGGCGAACGAAAAGGGAAUAGCCCAAACCGCUUCCUACGGGAAGCGGGGUUGUAGGACCAGCAAUGUGGACCCGAGUGUCUAGCCGAAGCGUACUGGAAAGGCGCGCCAAAGUGGGUGAUAGCCCCGUAGGCGAAAGGCACGGAGGCCUAGCUGGCACCUGAGUAGCUCGAGUCACGUGGAACCUCGAGUGAAUCCACGGGGACCACCCCGUAAGGCUAAAUAUUCCGACUGACCGAUAGUGGACAAGUACCGUGAGGGAAAGGUGAAAAGUACCCCGUGAGGGGAGUGAAAUAGUACCUGAAACCGUGCGCUUACAAGCAGUCACAGCCCUAUGCGUGCUCUUCGGAGCGCGAAUGGGUGGUGGCGUGCCUAUUGAAGCAUGAUCCUGUGACUUACUGGCAGUGCCGAGUUUAAGCUGUUAAGCGAAGGCGAAGCGAAAGCGAGUGUGAAUAGCGCGUUUAGGCGCUGUUAGUAGACCCGAAACCAGAUGAGCUAGCCAUGGCCAGGUUGAAGCCUCCGUAACAGGAGGUGGAGGACCGAACCCGUUGAGGUUUAAAACUCUUGGGAUGAGCUGUGGUUAGGAGUGAAAAGCUAACCGAAUCGGGAGAUAGCUGGUUCUCCCCGAAAUAGCUUUAGGGCUAGCCUCGGGGGUUUACCAGUGGCUGUAAAGCACUGAUUGGGCUAGGGGGCCUACCAGCUUACCAAACCCUGUCAAACUCUGAAGGCUACUGGUCCAGACCCCGGGAGUCAGUCUAUGGGAGCUAACUUUCAUAGACAAGAGGGAAACAACCCAGACCGCCAGUUAAGGUCCCUAAAUCGUGGCUAAGUGGUAAAGGAUGUGGAGAUGCUAAGACAGCUAGGAGGUUGGCUUAGAAGCAGCCAUUCCUUCAAAGAGUGCGUAAUAGCUCACUAGUCGAGCGUCUCUGCGCCGAAGAUGAUCGGGGCUAAGUCAUGUACCGAAACUGCGGCAAGGUGACUCUUCGGAGUCGCCUUGGGUAGGGGAGCGUUCCGUAGACCUGUGAAGCGGUACCGUAAGGAGCCGUGGAGGUAUCGGAAGUGCGAAUGCAGGAAUGAGUAACGAUAAGAAGGGUGAGAAUCCCUUCCGCCGAAAGCCUAAGGGUUCCUGAGCAAGGGUCGUCCGCUCAGGGUUAGGCGGGACCUAAGGCGAGGCCGAAAGGCGUAGUCGAUGGAUAGCAGGUUAAUAUUCCUGCCCCGCUUUCGUGGAGUGAUGGGGUAACGCAUUAGGAUAGGCCAACCGGAGCUAUGGCUAUGCCCGGCGGCCUGCGAAGCUCGAGGGGAUAGGAAAAUCCGCCCCUCGUUGAGAGUGACGUAGGUCGGGAAGGCCCCACGGGGCUGAUAACUGGUUGAAUCCAUGGUGCCAAGAAAAACCUCUAAACGUUGAAGCGAGAGCGCCCGUACCAAAACCGACACAGGUGGGCGAGUGUAAGAGCACUAAGGCGCGCGAGAGAACUCUGGUUAAGGAACUCUGCAAAAUAGCCCCGUAACUUCGGGAGAAGGGGUCCCGCGUGUACCGUUAGCAAUUCUUGCGAAGCGGGAAGCGGGCACAGUGAAUUGGCUCUAGCGACUGUUUACCACAAUCACAGCACUCUGCAAACCCAUGUAGGGGACGUAUAGGGUGUGACACCUGCCCGGUGCUGGAAGGUUAAGGGGAGGCGUGCAAGCGCCGAACUGAAGCCCCAGUGAACGGCGGCCGUAACUAUAAGUUGACCGUUGUAGUUACGUAAAUAAACUCAGCUAUUUGCUGGAAACUCCGGAGAAUCCUCCACUACUCGCCCUGUAUUAGACGGGCAGUAACAAUGUGCGAGGUGCGGACAAUCAGCAGGAAAGGCUCUCACAAGCGAUGCUUGAUGUUGAAAAGAUUCCUCCCCACAUCGGUUACUACCUAGUCGGCUUUGCUGACGGAGAAGGUAGUUUCCACGUAGUGUUCAGGAGGCGCAAAGACUACGUCAAGCCUUGGAAAACUUCGUUGUGUUUCAAUGUUUCGCAGCGAGACAAAGUCAUUCUGGCGCUUUUCAAGCGCCACCUCAACUGCGGUACGUUGCGACAGCGCCGCGACGGCGUGUGGUACUUCGAAGUCAAUAACCUGACUGCCGUUUUAGAAAACGUCAUUCCGUUCUUUGAACGCUUCAGGUUUAUGUCGGCGAAGAAAAAGCGCGAUUUUGCCAAGUUCAAACACCUUGCAACACUUUUUAAGGACGGUAAGCACCUUACUUAUGAAGGGCUUAAGCAGAUCCUUGAAAUUCGUAAGGAUAUGAACGAUGGCGGCGCUGAACGACGAAAGUAUACAGAUGCAGAAAUAUUGUGUCAGCUUGAGAGAGAAUCCUCAGAGACUAUACGCUGAGUCCAUUUGGAGCGACCGAACUGCCGCUGACUCCAAAGCGGAAUGAUAUAGUCCGAUCUCUGUGGCGACACAGAGGGUCCUCGUGACCGCACUGGCAAAACUGUCGGUGUAACGUAGAGAACGGUCCUAAGGUAGCGAAAUUCCUUGUCAGGUAAGUUCUGACCUGCACGAAUGGUGUAACGACUGGAGCGCUGUCUCAACCAGAGACUCGGUGAAAUUG